RNAcentral lists this transfer RNA (62 nucleotides) under Placida sp. 1 NY-2013. RNAcentral describes it as "tRNA-Gly". The record is from RNAcentral. Lineage: Eukaryota; Metazoa; Mollusca; Gastropoda; Limapontiidae.
CUUUAGUUAGUAUAAAUGUACAUUUACCUUCCAAGUAAAAAGUCUACAACGUAGCCUAAAGA